AUAUGUACAAUGUAAAAGUGUAAAUGGUCUUACUGUAACUGGUUUUGUAUUUUGUGUCUUGUGAUGUCCAGAUUGCAGUUUUGGUUCAGGGGGUCUCCUCAGUGGAUAUUUUGGACUUGGACAGGAUUCAAACAUUUCACUUUCUUCUUUUACGACAUUUGCAUCAGUACCCUCAGUAAAAAUAUCUAUGACAGGUUGAAAAACAUUAUGUUGAUGGUUCAGUGGCUCAACUUUCAAGUCGAAGUUAAGGCACCUUAAGGAAAGUGGAAACCUGUUCUGAGACCUCACUUUCUUUCUGAGACUGAACAUCAGCCCCAAGCUUUGAAUCAAUUUGCCGAUUAAUGCCGAAAAAAUAAAUGUAAAUGUAAAUUGCUGCAUCAGAGAUAUCUAACAGUUGCUCCAGAGCUACCAGUGUCUCUCCCAAAGCUACUGGAGAUAUUUCUACAUACGCUUGUUCCGAGCAUGUUAACACUAAUUGCAAACAUUUAGGUAGAUAUUGUAACUAUCCCUCUGCUACAUGGUAAUCCUACUUGCCUACAGUUGUUCAUCAGCUGACUGUAUUGCAUGCAUUUAAGCCUUAAUGAGUAUUUCACAAAUCAUUAUCUCCAGACAUCCUGUAAACCAUUGCACACAUAGGACUGUUGUUGCUGUGGUUGGGCUUCAGGGCGUUUAUCAAGAAGUGUGGCUAAUAUCUUUGGAGGUAACAUCCAGUCCUGUGAUGUGCCACUUUAACACAGAACUCUUUCAGCUUCAGUGAAAAGACUGCCAACGUAAUGAUGACAUCUACAGAAAUGUCUGUAGGGAAGCAGAUUUUACUCCAGGCAUGUCCCAAUGUGACACAUGUUUGAGGAAACACUGCCAGCCAACACCAAUAACCAUAAUAUAUUAAGAAGAUGUUUUGUUUGUUCUUUUACGCUUUUUAGUGGUUAUUUGUAAAACAUUUCCUCGAUGUUUCCUUGAUGACUAAGAGCCCAUACAAACUUAUCUGUUUUACAAUUCAAUCUAUUUGUUUUAUUUAUUAUGUAUAAGUGAAUAUGUAAAAUGUACAGUAUGAAAAACUCUUUGUUCUUAUUUCAUAGUAAAAAAAAAAAGUGUGAUUGUUUUUCUGAUUUAAGUAACUUGAGUUUAUGUACUCACCACAUGUUGGACCAAAAAUGUAAGCUUUCAAGGAAGAUGUUGUUCAAAUCACCCAAUCUCGAUAAUCCCAAAUACUGUAAAUAAGCUAUGUUGUGUUUCAAGUAAAAGUAAGUAAGCUUCGAAUUUAUCUGAUAAGAUUUUUGAUCUCUGUGUUUCUGUCAUUUGGGGUCCUCAAAACAUAUAAUAAACACCAACAACAUGCUUAAUUUUGCAUACUGUGGUUGUUUCUU
RNAcentral lists this long non-coding RNA (1367 nucleotides) under Neogobius melanostomus (round goby). RNAcentral's name for it is "lncRNA (ENSNMLG00000009837.1)". The record is from RNAcentral. Lineage: Eukaryota; Metazoa; Chordata; Actinopteri; Gobiiformes; Gobiidae.